GGGUAUAGCUCAGUUGGUAGAGCACAUGCUUACCAUGCACGAGGUCUUGGGUUCAAUUCCCAGCACCUCCA
RNAcentral lists this transfer RNA (71 nucleotides) under Camelus bactrianus (Bactrian camel). It matches the Rfam family "tRNA". From Rfam's summary of the family: Transfer RNA (tRNA) molecules are approximately 80 nucleotides in length. Their secondary structure includes four short double-helical elements and three loops (D, anti-codon, and T loops). The record is from Rfam by way of RNAcentral. Lineage: Eukaryota; Metazoa; Chordata; Mammalia; Artiodactyla; Camelidae. RNAcentral also lists the same sequence under 1 other name.